Molecule: ribosomal RNA, 706 nt
Filed under: uncultured Thauera sp.
Lineage: Bacteria; Pseudomonadati; Pseudomonadota; Betaproteobacteria; Rhodocyclales; Zoogloeaceae
Description: bacterial SSU rRNA
Rfam family: Bacterial small subunit ribosomal RNA
Source: RNAcentral
AGUCGAACGGCAGCGGGGGCUUCGGCCUGCCGGUGAGUGGCGAACGGGUGAGUAAUGCAUCGGAACGUGCCCAUGUCGUGGGGGAUAACGUAGCGAAAGCUACGCUAAUACCGCAUACGUCCUGAGGGAGAAAGCGGGGGAUCUUUGGACCUCGCGCGAUUGGAGCGGCCGAUGUCGGAUUAGCUAGUAGGUGAGGUAAAGGCUCACCUAGGCGACGAUCCGUAGCGGGUCUGAGAGGAUGAUCCGCCACACUGGGACUGAGACACGGCCCAGACUCCUACGGGAGGCAGCAGUGGGGAAUUUUGGACAAUGGGGGCAACCCUGAUCCAGCCAUGCCGCGUGAGUGAAGAAGGCCUUCGGGUUGUAAAGCUCUUUCGGCCGGGAAGAAAUCGUGGUCUCUAACAUAGGACAUGGAUGACGGUACCGGACUAAGAAGCACCGGCUAACUACGUGCCAGCAGCCGCGGUAAUACGUAGGGUGCGAGCGUUAAUCGGAAUUACUGGGCGUAAAGCGUGCGCAGGCGGUUUUGUAAGACAGAUGUGAAAUCCCCGGGCUUAACCUGGGAACUGCGUUUGUGACUGCAAGGCUAGAGUACGGCAGAGGGGGGUGGAAUUCCUGGUGUAGCAGUGAAAUGCGUAGAGAUCAUGAGGAACACCGAUGGCGAAGGCAGCCCCCUGGGCCUGUACUGACGCUCAUGCACGAAAGC